This 226-nucleotide ribosomal RNA is filed under the name Isochrysis galbana. RNAcentral's name for it is "partial Archaeal large subunit ribosomal RNA". The stretch from base 1 to 191 matches the Rfam family "Archaeal large subunit ribosomal RNA", at positions 2520 to 2712 of the family's 2987-position model. The record is from RNAcentral. Lineage: Eukaryota; Haptophyta; Isochrysidales; Isochrysidaceae.
UUGAUAAUAAAAGUACUUUAGGGAUAACAGCACAAAAAGAUUAUAGACCAUAUAGAAAUCUCACUAAUGACCUCGAUGUUGAAUUAAGGCACCUCUUUUACAAGCACAAGGAAAAGUAGUUGAUCUGUUCGAUCAUUAAAGCCUUAGAUGAUUUGAGUUAAGAUCGACGCAAGUCAGAUUGGAUUCUAUCUUAUAUUUAAUAAUUUAAUCUUUAGUACGAAAGGAA